This 467-nucleotide ribosomal RNA is filed under the name uncultured bacterium. RNAcentral describes it as "partial 16S ribosomal RNA". It matches the Rfam family "Bacterial small subunit ribosomal RNA", at positions 29 to 507 of the family's 1533-position model. The record is from RNAcentral.
ACGAACGCUGGCGGCGUGCUUCACACCUGCCAGUCGCACGGAAAGGCCCUGCUUUUGUGGGGUGCUCGCGUGGCGAACGGGUGAGUAACACGUGAGUAACCUGCCCUUGACUUUGGGAUAACUUCAGGAAACUGGGGCUAAUACCGGAUAGGAGCUCCUGCUGCAUGGUGGGGGUUGGAAAGUUUCGGCGGUUGGGGAUGGACUCGCGGCUUAUCAGCUUGUUGGUGGGGUAGUGGCUUACCAAGGCUUUGACGGGUAGCCGGCCUGAGAGGGUGACCGGCCACAUUGGGACUGAGAUACGGCCCAGACUCCUACGGGAGGCAGCAGUGGGGAAUAUUGCACAAUGGGCGGAAGCCUGAUGCAGCAACGCCGCGUGCGGGAUGACGGCCUUCGGGUUGUAAACCGCUUUCGCCUGUGACGAAGCGUGAGUGACGGUAAUGGGUAAAGAAGCACCGGCUAACUACGUG